This 691-nucleotide long non-coding RNA is filed under the name Pan troglodytes (chimpanzee). RNAcentral describes it as "lincRNA". The record is from RNAcentral. Lineage: Eukaryota; Metazoa; Chordata; Mammalia; Primates; Hominidae.
AGUCUGAGCAGGGCCUCACAACAGUGGGGCACGAGGCAGGAGCUUCUGGGAGCAUAGCCUUAGCCAUGAUCUUAACCUGCCCACAUGUUUCUUUUUUUUUUUUUUUGUAUUUAUUAUUAUUAUUAUUAUUUACUUUUAUUUUUUUAUUUUAUUAUUAUUAUACUUUAAGUUUUAGGGUACAUGUGCACAAUGUGCAGGUGUUUAUUUGUUUGUUUGUUUUGAGAUGGAGUCUCUGUCACCCAGGCUGAAGUGCAGUGGCAUGAUCUCGGAUGACUGCAACCUCCAUCUCCCGAUUUCAUGCGAUUCUCCUGUCUCAGCUUCCUGAGUAGCUGGGAUUACAGAAAAAGUGAAGGGAGAAGGUUCUGAACAGACCCAUCCACUAAUCAGGCUCACAGUUUCUGGCUGAAACUGACUGUUACCGGCAAACGUUACGGCCUAAUAUCGAAGCACAAGUUCUACCUCGGGCGGGGUUCCUCAACAUUCAUCACUGAGAGAUUCAGGCAAGAGGGAGAUAAGUUCAAGAGGACAGCCAUUCUCCCGGGAGUUGCAUCUUCAUCUAGUAUUUGAAAUGAUAAUUUAUAGGGGAAAUCAUUCAAGAUAACAUGUUCCAGAAGGAAAAUACACCCUGCUGUUGUUCCGGCUCCUUAAAUCAUGUUUUACCUAGUCUAAUAAGAAGGCUAAUUUGCCUUGG